GACGGAGGGUGCAAGCGUUGUUCGGAAUUACUGGGCGUAAAGCGCGGGCAGGUGGCCCUUUAAGUCCUUUGUGAAAUUCCGGAGCUCAACUCCGGAUGUGCAUAGGAUACUGGAAGGCUAGAGACUGGUAGAGGCGAGCGGAAUUCCUGGUGUAGCGGUGGAAUGCGUAGAUAUCAGGAGGAACACCGGUGGUGUAGACGGCUUUCUGGACCGUAACUGACGCUGAGACACGAAAGCGUGGGUAGCAAACAGG
This 253-nucleotide ribosomal RNA is filed under the name uncultured bacterium. RNAcentral describes it as "partial 16S ribosomal RNA". It matches the Rfam family "Bacterial small subunit ribosomal RNA", at positions 524 to 776 of the family's 1533-position model. The record is from RNAcentral.